This 642-nucleotide ribosomal RNA is filed under the name uncultured Oxalobacteraceae bacterium. RNAcentral's name for it is "bacterial SSU rRNA". It matches the Rfam family "Bacterial small subunit ribosomal RNA", at positions 28 to 667 of the family's 1533-position model. The record is from RNAcentral. Lineage: Bacteria; Pseudomonadati; Pseudomonadota; Betaproteobacteria; Burkholderiales; Oxalobacteraceae.
AUUGAACGCUGGCGGCAUGCCUUACACAUGCAAGUCGAACGGUAACGCGGGGCAACCUGGCGACGAGUGGCGAACGGGUGAGUAAUGCAUCGGAGCGUGCCCAGUAGUGGGGGAUAGCCCGGCGAAAGCCGGAUUAAUACCGCAUACGACCUACGGGUGAAAGGGGGGGAUCGCAAGACCUCUCGUUAUUGGAGCGGCCGAUGUCAGAUUAGGUUGUUGGUGGGGUAAAAGCCUACCAAGCCGACGAUCUGUAGCUGGUCUGAGAGGACGACCAGCCACACUGGGACUGAGACACGGCCCAGACUCCUACGGGAGGCAGCAGUGGGGAAUUUUGGACAAUGGGCGCAAGCCUGAUCCAGCCAUGCCGCGUGCGGGAAGAAGGCCUUCGGGUUGUAAACCGCUUUUGUCAGGGAAGAAACGCGCUGAGCUAAUACCUCGGCGUAAUGACGGUACCUGAAGAAUAAGCACCGGCUAACUACGUGCCAGCAGCCGCGGUAAUACGUAGGGUGCAAGCGUUAAUCGGAAUUACUGGGCGUAAAGCGUGCGCAGGCGGUGAUGCAAGACAGAUGUGAAAUCCCCGGGCUUAACCUGGGAACUGCAUUUGUGACUGCAUUGCUGGAGUGCGGCAGAGGGGGAUGGAAU